RNAcentral lists this ribosomal RNA (253 nucleotides) under uncultured bacterium. Its description in RNAcentral is "partial 16S ribosomal RNA". It matches the Rfam family "Bacterial small subunit ribosomal RNA", at positions 524 to 776 of the family's 1533-position model. The record is from RNAcentral.
UACAUGGGGUGCAAACGUUGCUCGGAAUUAGUGGGCGUAAAGCGCACGUAGGCGGUUCGUUAAGUCAGAUGUGAAAGCCCCCGGCUCAACCGGGGAAGUGCAUCUGAAACUGGCGAGCUAGAGUACGAAAGAGGGUCGCGGAAUUCCCGGUGUAGAGGUGAAAUUCGUAGAUAUCGGGAGGAACACCGGUGGCGAAGGCGGCGACCUGGGUCGAUACUGACGCUGAGGUGCGAAAGCGUGGGGAGCAAACAGG